GUCGAGCGAGCUGAACCAGCAGAUUCACUUCGGUGAUGACGCUGGGAACGCGAGCGGCGGAUGGGUGAGUAACACGUGGGUAACCUGCCCUAAAGUCUGGGAUACCACUUGGGAACAGGUGCUAAUACCGGAUAACAACAAUAGCUGCAUGGCUAUUGCUUAAAAGGCGGCGAAAGCUGUCGCUAAAGGAUGGACCCGCGGUGCAUUAGCUAGUUGGUAAGGUAAUGGCUUACCAAGGCGACGAUGCAUAGCCGAGUUGAGAGACUGAUCGGCCACAUUGGGACUGAGACACGGCCCAAACUCCUACGGGAGGCAGCAGUAGGGAAUCUUCCACAAUGGGCGAGAGCCUGAUGGAGCAACGCCGCGUGAGUGAAGAAGGUUUUCGGAUCGUAAAGCUCUGUUGUUGGUGAAGAAGGAUAGAGGUAGUAACUGGCCCCUAUUUGACGGUAAUCAACCAGAAAGUCACGGCUAACUACGUGCCAGCAGCCGCGGUAAUACGUAGGUGGCAAGCGUUGUCCGGAUUUAUUGGGCGUAAAGCGAGCGCAGGCGGAAAGAUAAGUCUGAUGUGAAAGCCCCCGGCUUAACCGAGGAAUUGCAUCGGAAACUGUGUUUCUUGAGUGCAGAAGAGGAGAGUGGAACUCCAUGUGUAGCGGUGGAAUGCGUAGAUAUAUGGAAGAACACCAGUGGCGAAGGCGGCUCUCUGGUCUGUAACUGACGCUGAGGCUCGAAAGCAUGGGUAGCGAACAGGAUUAGAUACCCUGGUAGUCCAUGCCGUAAACGAUGAGUGCUAAGUGUUGGGAGGUUUCCGCCUCUCAGUGCUGCAGCUAACGCAUUAAGCACU
This 841-nucleotide ribosomal RNA is filed under the name uncultured bacterium. RNAcentral's name for it is "bacterial SSU rRNA". It matches the Rfam family "Bacterial small subunit ribosomal RNA", at positions 61 to 868 of the family's 1533-position model. The record is from RNAcentral.